GCCCGCCGGCGGGCGGCGGAGAUCAGUCAGCGUCUCUCUCCCUUUCGCUCACAGCCCGCGGCCGGCGAGCGCUGACUCAGAGCGGCACCGCCGCCCCGACCCGCUUCGCACGCGAUGCCGCCGGCCUCCCCCAAACCACCACCACCCCCCCCUCACCCUCCCGAACCACCCCGGCCCCGCUCCCGGCUCCGCCGCCGCGCCUCGCUGCUGCGCUCCCGCCCCGCUCGGGGCCGGGGCGGCGGCACGGCCGGGAGCGGCCCCGGCGCGCAGGCUCCUUUGUCUCUUGCCUUUCUCUGGGGUGAUGAUGUUAAAAGUCCUGCCAGUGGAGUAUCGCUGUCUUUGGAAUGGAGUAUGGACCCUCUCAGGUUUCUGUCCACUUUAUCAACAUGUCAAAAGAAGACACACUAUUUCAGCAGCCAGCAGCAACUCUGGAUGUGAUACAGCUUCUUUCCUCCUUGUGAUUUCUCUGUUUAUACAUCCGAGGUUGCAGGAAAGUUGGUGGGUUUGGCCACAGCACCAUCUUGGCAGUUGGUAAUCCACCAUGACCUGUUUGUCCUUUUCAUUUUGUGCUUCCCCAGGAUAAAGCUUUAUGUCAGUGGCAGGUGCAAAGAAACAUAAAGAAGCUGCAAAUUAGCAACAAAACCAGACCAGGCCAGCCUGGAAGGACGAGAUGUACGUGACCACAGGGCUGAGUUUGCGCAGAAGUAAGGGUCAACUGGCGAACACAGUGAAGAUGACUACGAGCCUUCAUCUGAAGACCCCUGACAACCACCUGAAGACUCCAACUGACAUGUGUAACAGACAUUAACAUAUGCUAAAUGAGUUCCCGGAAAAGUUACGAAUAUGAUAAAAAUGCAAUGAAUAUGUAUGACUAAGGUAGUAUAAAUGCUUGUUGAUUUCAUUCUCCCACACACACAUUAGGAGGAGCUCUCCCCUGUGUGCCUGGUGCUGUAAUAAAGAAUGCCUGCUUUCUAAAACUCCAAAA
Tyto alba (common barn owl) is the source of this 985-nucleotide long non-coding RNA. RefSeq lists it as uncharacterized. The record is from RefSeq and is a predicted model, not a curated record. NCBI's taxonomy places the organism in Eukaryota, Metazoa, Chordata, Aves, Strigiformes, Tytonidae. The transcript has 4 exons.